RNAcentral lists this unclassified non-coding RNA (265 nucleotides) under uncultured fungus. RNAcentral's name for it is "partial contains 5.8S ribosomal RNA, internal transcribed spacer 2, and large subunit ribosomal RNA". Lineage: Eukaryota; Fungi. The record is from RNAcentral.
AACGCACCUUGCACUCUUUGGUAUUCCGAAGAGUAUGUCUGUUUGAGCGUCGUGAAUCUCUCAACCCCCCUAUUUUGUAAUGAAAUAGGCUUUGUGGGCUUGGAUUAUGGCUGUCUGUCGGAUCUCUUAAUUGAGCCGGCGUAAUAAUACUAUUCGCUGAGGACGUUUUCAUUAUAAAGGAUUGAUUGACGCUUCCAAUGCGACUUUAAUUAGUCAAUUCAUAACUCUAGACCUCAAAUCAGAUAGGACUACCCGCUGAACUUAA